UCUCCGUUGGUGAACCAGCGGAGGGAUCAUUACUGAGUUUACAACUCCCAAACCCAAUGUGAACCAUACCAAACUGUUGCCUCGGCGGGGUCACGCCCCGGGUGCGUCGCAGCCCCGGAACCAGGCGCCCGCCGGAGGGACCAACCAAACUCUUUCUGUAGUCCCCUCGCGGACGUUAUUUUUACAGCUCUGAGCAGAAAUUCAAAAUGAAUCAAAACUUUCAACAACGGAUCUCUUGGUUCUG
RNAcentral lists this unclassified non-coding RNA (244 nucleotides) under plant metagenome. RNAcentral describes it as "partial contains small subunit ribosomal RNA, internal transcribed spacer 1, and 5.8S ribosomal RNA". The record is from RNAcentral.